This 386-nucleotide ribosomal RNA is filed under the name uncultured bacterium. Its description in RNAcentral is "bacterial SSU rRNA". It matches the Rfam family "Bacterial small subunit ribosomal RNA", at positions 30 to 416 of the family's 1533-position model. The record is from RNAcentral.
AUUGAACGCUGGCGGCAUGCCUUACACAUGCAAGUCGAACGGCAGCACGGGAGCAAUCCUGGUGGCGAGUGGCGAACGGGUGAGUAAUGUAUCGGAACGUGCCUUGUCGUGGGGGAUAACGUAGCGAAAGCUACGCUAAUACCGCAUACCAUCUAAGGAUGAAAGCGGGGGAUCGCAAGACCUCGCGCGACAAGAGUGGCCGAUAUCAGAUUAGGUUGUUGGUGGGGUAAAGGCCUACCAAGCCGACGAUCUGUAGCUGGUCUGAGAGGACGACCAGCCACACUGGGACUGAGACACGGCCCAGACUCCUACGGGAGGCAGCAGUGGGGAAUUUUGGACAAUGGGCGAAAGCCUGAUCCAGCAAUGCCGCGUGCAGGAUGAAGGCC